This is a small nuclear RNA of Gorilla gorilla gorilla (western lowland gorilla), 106 nucleotides long. Its record names the gene U4. It matches the Rfam family "U4 spliceosomal RNA". Rfam says of the family: U4 small nuclear RNA (U4 snRNA) is a component of the major U2-dependent spliceosome. The structure of U4 snRNA from yeast and human has been reported. U4 snRNA presents a k-turn RNA motif in the 5p-SL related to recognition of Snu13 protein. The record is from Ensembl. Lineage: Eukaryota; Metazoa; Chordata; Mammalia; Primates; Hominidae.
AGCUUUGUACAGUGACAGGAUUAUAGCCAAUGAGGCAUGAUUAUUGCUAAUUGAAAACUUUUCCCAGUACCCUGGCAUUGGCACUUUUUGACAAUCUCUAUGGAGA